ACGAACGCUGGCGGCGUGCCUAACACAUGCAAGUUGAGCGACGAACCAGGGCUUGCCCUGGGGCAAAGCAGCGAACGGGUGAGUAACACGUGGGUAACCUACCCCGAUAACCGGGACAACCCGAGGAAACUCGGGCUAAUACCGGAUGUGCUCACUGGACUUCGGUUCAGUGCGUAAAGGAAGCUUCGGCCUCCGUAUCGGGAGGGGCCCGCGGCCCAUUAGUUUGUUGGUGAGGUAACGGCUCACCAAGACCGCGAUGGGUAGCUGGUCUGAGAGGACGAUCAGCCACACUGGGACUGAGACACGGCCCAGACUCCUACGGGAGGCAGCAGUGGGGAAUCUUGCGCAAAGCGCGAAAGCGUGACGCAGCAACGCCGCGUGGGGGAAGAAGGCCUUCGGGUUGUAAACCCCUUUCAGGAGGGACGAAGGUUCGGCGGUGAAUAGCCGUCCGGACUGACGGUACCUCCACAAGAAGCCCCGGCUAACUACGUG
This 492-nucleotide ribosomal RNA is filed under the name uncultured bacterium. RNAcentral describes it as "partial 16S ribosomal RNA". It matches the Rfam family "Bacterial small subunit ribosomal RNA", at positions 29 to 507 of the family's 1533-position model. The record is from RNAcentral.